Molecule: long non-coding RNA, 445 nt
Organism: Symphalangus syndactylus (siamang)
Lineage: Eukaryota; Metazoa; Chordata; Mammalia; Primates; Hylobatidae
Source: RefSeq, a predicted model, not a curated record
GCUGGUUUGCUGAUUCUCCCAGCUUCCCAUCACUGACAAUCACUCCGAAAUAGCUGGAACUUCAUUUCCUCUUUAAACUGUGACACCUGGCUCUUUGGAUUGCUUUCAUGAAUGGGAUUUCACAGAUGAAGAAACUGAGUUACAGGGAGACCAAGCAAGCCAUUAAAGUGACCCAACUGUUGAAGAUGCUGGCCCUGCAAGAAUUGGCAACACUCGUACAUGCUAGACAGAUGUGAAAGCUCGCUGGAAUGUACAACAAGAGUCCAACUUGGUGACAGAGAUCCUUACCAUUUAUCAGAAGCCUCAAAUACUUAGGUUGAGGACCAGAAAGACACUCAGCAUGGAUGGAAAAUGCCCUCCAGAGAUACUGGAAUCAGGAAUGAGGGGUGAGAAAGAUGCACGCUAAUGAUCUGUGAUGGCAUGUCCCAAAGUAUGGAGAUGUGGC